RNAcentral lists this ribosomal RNA (554 nucleotides) under uncultured bacterium. RNAcentral describes it as "bacterial SSU rRNA". It matches the Rfam family "Bacterial small subunit ribosomal RNA", at positions 472 to 1024 of the family's 1533-position model. The record is from RNAcentral.
ACGGUACCGGAAGAAGAAGCACCGGCUAACUACGUGCCAGCAGCCGCGGUAAUACGUAGGGUGCGAGCGUUAAUCGGAAUUACUGGGCGUAAAGCGUGCGCAGGCGGUUUUGUAAGACAGAUGUGAAAUCCCCGGGCUUAACCUGGGAACUGCAUUUGUAACUGCAAGGCUAGAGUACGGCAGAGGGGGGUAGAAUUCCACGUGUAGCAGUGAAAUGCGUAGAUAUGUGGAGGAAUACCGAUGGCGAAGGCAGCCCCCUGGGUCGAUACUGACGCUCAUGCACGAAAGCGUGGGGAGCAAACAGGAUUAGAUACCCUGGUAGUCCACGCCCUAAACGAUGUCAACUAGGUGUUGGGGGAGGAGACUUCCUUAGUACCGCAGCUAACGCGUGAAGUUGACCGCCUGGGGAGUACGGUCGCAAGAUUAAAACUCAAAGGAAUUGACGGGGACCCGCACAAGCGGUGGAUUAUGUGGAUUAAUUCAAUGCAACGCGAAAAACCUUACCUACCCUUGACAUGCCAGGAACUUGCCAGAGAUGGCUUGGUGCCCGAAAG